This 560-nucleotide ribosomal RNA is filed under the name [Candida] sp. SYCYC-1. RNAcentral describes it as "eukaryotic LSU rRNA". It matches the Rfam family "Eukaryotic large subunit ribosomal RNA", at positions 37 to 600 of the family's 3401-position model. The record is from RNAcentral. Lineage: Eukaryota; Fungi; Ascomycota; Saccharomycetes; Saccharomycetales.
UGCAUAUCAAUAAGCGGAGGAAAAGAAACCAACAGGGAUUGCCUCAGUAACGGCGAGUGAAGCGGCAAAAGCUCAAAUUUGAAAUCUAGCACCUUCGGUGUUCGAGUUGUAAUUUGAAGAUGGUAACCUUGGGUUUGGCUCUUGUCUAUGUUCCUUGGAACAGGACGUCAUAGAGGGUGAGAAUCCCGUCUGAUGAGAUGCCCAUUCCUAUGUAAGGUGCUAUCGAAGAGUCGAGUUGUUUGGGAAUGCAGCUCUAAGUGGGUGGUAAAUUCCAUCUAAAGCUAAAUAUUGGCGAGAGACCGAUAGCGAACAAGUACAGUGAUGGAAAGAUGAAAAGAACUUUGAAAAGAGAGUGAAAAAGUACGUGAAAUUGUUGAAAGGGAAGGGCAUUAGAUCAGACUUGGUGUUUUACGAUUAUCUUCUCUUCUUGAGUUGUGCACUCGUAUUUCACUGGGCCAGCAUCGAUUCGGAUGGCAAGAUAAUGGCAGUUGAAUGUGGCUUCACUUCGGUGGAGUGUUAUAGCUUCUGCUGAUAUUGCCUGUCUGGAUCGAGGGCUGCGU